This 497-nucleotide ribosomal RNA is filed under the name uncultured bacterium. RNAcentral describes it as "partial 16S ribosomal RNA". It matches the Rfam family "Bacterial small subunit ribosomal RNA", at positions 28 to 507 of the family's 1533-position model. The record is from RNAcentral.
GAUGAACGCUGGCGGCGUGCCUAAUACAUGCAAGUCGAGCGAACAGACGAGGAGCUUGCUCCUCUGACGUUAGCGGCGGACGGGUGAGUAACACGUGGAUAACCUACCUAUAAGACUGGGAUAACUUCGGGAAACCGGAGCUAAUACCGGAUAAUAUAUUGAACCGCAUGGUUCAAUAGUGAAAGACGGUUUUGCUGUCACUAAUAGAUGGAUCCGCGCCGGAUUAGCUAGUUGGUAAGGUAACGGCUUACCAAGGCAACGAUGCGUAGCCGACCUGAGAGGGUGAUCGGCCACACUGGAACUGAGACACGGUCCAGACUCCUACGGGAGGCAGCAGUAGGGAAUCUUCCGCAAUGGGCGAAAGCUUGACGGAGCAACGCCGCGUGAGUGAUGAAGGUCUUCGGAUCGUAAAACUCUGUUAUUAGGGAAGAACAAAUGUGUAAGUAACUAUGCACGUCUUGACGGUACCUACUCAGAAAGCAACGGCUAACUACGUG